Orbicella faveolata is the source of this 811-nucleotide long non-coding RNA. The record is from RefSeq and is a predicted model, not a curated record. Lineage: Eukaryota; Metazoa; Cnidaria; Anthozoa; Scleractinia; Merulinidae.
UUCGCGAGAAGUGAUAGCUUACUUGAUGAUAAGAAUAUUACUCUCGGCUAUAUCACCUUCAUUGAUGCUUAAUACCAAAGAAAUACUUUGUUCUAAUAAAACAUUUUGUUGUUUUUUCCUUUAACUAAACUUUAAGGAAAACGGCCCAAAAAUCGAAGAAAAUCUACCUUAGAAGCUGUACGCUCUAUCUGUUGGAGGGCUUCUCACGAGAGGCGUAUCGGCGAGGUCACUUGUCUGUGGGUUUGAGGCUUCCUCAUAACACUCGGUCUUUUGAAAGACCUCUAGCUGGAAACCGUACAACUUGGAUCCUUCCAGGUGAAAGAAAAUUAACUUUCAAAAUACAGAACGACAUUAAAGACAUAACAGUGACCUUUGGUUCGACCUUACACAUUAAUGCAACAUACAAGUUGUGCUGUGUUGGUAUGUGGUGUCCUGAGUGUUCCAUGCAACUCAAGAUUUACGUCAUGGGACAUGAUUACAUGAUAGACAACUCUCUGGAGACGAAUUGUGUGAAAAAGCAAUUCAACAUAAGUAUUCCUGUAACAGUACAACCUGGACGGUACAAUAUGGAGGUAAACUAGUGAAACGUCGAUCUUUUAAUUGUUACUUGCCUAACAUGUUUCUAUACAAGGGUCUUUUACGUUCUGUCGCCCGGCAUGGCGACAGGAGGUAAAAUGUGCCUAAUCCUACAUUCCUGUUGCACGGAUGUUUUGCAUCCUUGUAGAUCAUAAAACAAAAUACAUCUAAAGAGCAAAGAAGUCGCUGAUACAAAAUAGAAACAACUGUAGUGAGGAAACAUAUCUUUGGUCAU